CAGCGACAAGGAAACGUCCUGUCCUCGGACCAAAGGAUGAUGGCUCCACAGCAGUUGCUGCUUGUCUAAGAUAACAGAGAGGACGAAGAUGACCUUAGCAAGGCUACUGCUGAAGCUACUGACACAAGGAGUAGUCCAUGCAGCCCCAAAUAAUAUUUCAACACGACCCAUAUCCUGUCUUGUGCGCCGAGUACCCGCUAGACGAAGUUGAGUAGAUACUGUAAAAAUAAACAAAACAUAUGUAAAAUUACAGUUUUCUUGUACUGACUAGAAUCACAAUAAACGUGGUUAGUUCAUAACCCUUUUAUGUGCCUCUUUCUAUUUUUUUUUAUAGAUAAUUCUUAUGUUACCGUUCCAUAUUAUUUAUAUUUUCCAUGCUGAGAAGAAAUAAAGCGUUUAAAACUACAAUUGGUAAAUUAUGUUAAAUGAGCUUUACUAUAAGGACUACAAUAUGAAUGUGAGACACACUGGAAGCUUAUCUUAGAUUAUGUUAUUGUUACUGGUCAAGUAGACUCUUAUUUACACUAUGAAGCACAAAUUGGACUUCGAUAUCUCUCACUUACCUCUUGAUCACUUAGUGUUUUUUUUUUUUAGUUAAAUUUGUUGUUAUAAAGCUGUGCCUGAUCGUAUUGUCCAGCAAUGUGCACAACUGUCUUGCAAGGAAAGAAAACUGUAAAUUCUGCAUAAAGUGUUAUAAAUACAACUAAAACAGUCCUCACAGACAACGCAGGCAACACCGACAGCUUUACUUUGGCUGCAGAAGUCGUCAUUGUGCCACGUGUAUUUACACCCUGUCAGACUGGCUUCAGUACCCCGACACGUGUAGUUGUAUGGUGCAAUCUUGCCUGAACCUUCCCCGUACAUCGCAGAACUGACAACUAGUGCUUCAGGACUGAAAUAUAUUCCACCACAAUGCGCAAAUUGAUGCCACGGGUGGAGAUAUAAAACACACAUGGAAACGACUUAACAGGAAACAAAUAAAUCAAAACUGCAAAAGUCAGAAGAUUAAGGUUGCCAAUGAUAAGAAAAUAAAAUGUGCAAAUUACGAGCUGCUCCAUUUUCGUACUUAAAUAAUUAUCAUUCAAUAGUUCCAAUGCUUCGCAAAAGUUUAUUAACAAUAAUAAAAUCAAAUUAAGAAAAAAA
This is a long non-coding RNA of Pomacea canaliculata, 1143 nucleotides long. RefSeq lists it as uncharacterized. The record is from RefSeq and is a predicted model, not a curated record. The transcript has 2 exons. NCBI's taxonomy places the organism in Eukaryota, Metazoa, Mollusca, Gastropoda, Architaenioglossa, Ampullariidae.